This 253-nucleotide ribosomal RNA is filed under the name uncultured bacterium. RNAcentral describes it as "partial 16S ribosomal RNA". It matches the Rfam family "Bacterial small subunit ribosomal RNA", at positions 524 to 776 of the family's 1533-position model. The record is from RNAcentral.
UACAGAGGGUGCGAGCGUUAAUCGGAAUUACUGGGCGUAAAGCGCGCGUAGGCGGUUUUGUAAGUCGGGUGUGAAAUCCCCAGGCUCAACCUGGGAACUGCAUUCGAGACUGCAUAGCUAGAGUAUGGGAGAGGGAAGUGGAAUUUCAGGUGUAGCGGUGAAGUGCGUAGAUAUCUGAAGGAACAUCAGUGGCGAGAGCGACUUCCUGGACCAAUACUGACGCUCAUGUGCGAAAGCGUGGGGAGCAAACAGG